This 429-nucleotide ribosomal RNA is filed under the name Chloroflexota bacterium. RNAcentral describes it as "Chloroflexi bacterium partial 16S ribosomal RNA". It matches the Rfam family "Bacterial small subunit ribosomal RNA", at positions 355 to 776 of the family's 1533-position model. The record is from RNAcentral. Lineage: Bacteria; Bacillati; Chloroflexota.
UGGGGAAUAUUGCACAAUGGGCGCAAGCCUGAUGCAGCCAUGCCGCGUGUAUGAAGAAGGCCUUCGGGUUGUAAAGUACUUUCAGCGGGGAGGAAGGGAGUAAAGUUAAUACCUUUGCUCAUUGACGUUACCCGCAGAAGAAGCACCGGCUAACUCCGUGCCAGCAGCCGCGGUAAUACGGAGGGUGCAAGCGUUGUCCGGAUUUAUUGGGCGUAAAGCGAGCGCAGGCGGUUUCUUAAGUCUGAUGUGAAAGCCCCCGGCUCAACCGGGGAGGGUCAUUGGAAACUGGGAGACUUGAGUGCAGAAGAGGAGAGUGGAAUUCCAUGUGUAGCGGUGAAAUGCGUAGAUAUAUGGAGGAACACCAGUGGCGAAGGCGGCUCUCUGGUCUGUAACUGACGCUGAGGCUCGAAAGCGUGGGGAGCAAACGGG